CUUGUUGGUGAGGUAAUGGCUUACCAAGGCGAUGAUCAGUAGCUGGUCUGAGAGGAUGAUCAGCCACACUGGGACUGAGACACGGCCCAGACUCCUACGGGAGGCAGCAGUGAGGAAUUUUCCGCAAUGGGCGAAAGCCUGACGGAGCAAUGCCGCGUGAAGGAUGAAGGCCUAUGGGUUGUAAACUUCUUUUCUCAGAGAAGAAAUUUUGACGGUAUCUGAGGAAUAAGCAUCGGCUAACUCUGUGCCAGCAGCCGCGGUAAGACAGAGGAUGCAAGCGUUAUCCGGAAUGAUUGGGCGUAAAGCGUCUGUAGGUGGCUUAAAAAGUCUCCUGUCAAAGAUCAGGGCUUAACCCUGGGCCGGCAGGAGAAACUCUUAGGCUAGAGUUUGGUAGGGGCAGAGGGAAUUCCCGGUGGAGCGGUGA
This 424-nucleotide ribosomal RNA is filed under the name Chlorella sorokiniana. Its description in RNAcentral is "bacterial SSU rRNA". It matches the Rfam family "Bacterial small subunit ribosomal RNA", at positions 245 to 684 of the family's 1533-position model. RNAcentral also lists the same sequence under 5 other names. The record is from RNAcentral. Lineage: Eukaryota; Viridiplantae; Chlorophyta; Trebouxiophyceae; Chlorellales; Chlorellaceae.